CUGACCAUAGGAUCAUCAUGAGGAUGGUGAUCAAUCUAGAAGGUUGGCGUACGAUUGCUUCCUUAGGAUAGAUGUGUCUUGAGUCUAUGGUGUAGAGACACCGAAGUGAGAGUACAGGUAUUCGUGGAGAACGAGAGUACUGAGCGUGACCACCUCGAGCAGUCAUAAGAAAAUCUACCUUCUCGUCGAUGACUAGCUCGAUGCUGCAGCUAUGUGUCUAGUUCUUUGACCUGAGGUACAUCGACAGUUCACCUUGAGUGUGUUAUAGUUUGACUAUACCAUAACUCGGUCUCCUAGCCAUUCGGAACCCUGAGGUGUAUGUUGGCUGUAGCAUAUUCAUUGUAGGAACUAGAUUGCACCAAGAUGGGAUCUAUCAACCUUGGUAGAUAAGCGGAGUAGUCUUAUGAUGAUCGAAAGAUUGAGUUCUUAAGCCCAUGGCCAUGGCAGAGUGAAAUAAUGAAAAAGAGUUUCAUUAAGGUUUCACAUCGAACUUGGAUCGAUCGAUUGAUUCAUAUGAUUGAUGUUGGGUUUGACGAGUUCACCUUAACCUUAAUUCAGUCGGGACUCAUGAUAGAGGAACUCAAUCACACAGGUAGCUGCACCGAGAGGUUCGUCUUCAUUUCUGAUGGAUUGCCACCAUAUACUGCUAGGUGUCACUGGUGGAUUUUGGGAGCAAUUAGAAUGAUCUUGAUGAUCGAUCAUUCU
Molecule: long non-coding RNA, 705 nt
Filed under: Elaeis guineensis (African oil palm)
Lineage: Eukaryota; Viridiplantae; Streptophyta; Magnoliopsida; Arecales; Arecaceae
Description: long non-coding RNA (EGUI_LNC069700)
Source: RNAcentral